GUACCCCUCCUCUGGACUCUUUCCAGUAUAAUCAUAGAAUCAUUAAGGUUGGAAAAGACCUUCAAGAUCAUCUGGUCCAACCAUGAUCCUACUACCAAUGUCACCCACUAAACCAUGUCCCUAAGCACCAGGUCCAACCUUUCCUUGUACAUCCCCAGGGGUGGUGACUUCACUACUUUGCUGGGCAACCUGUUCCAAUGCCUGACUACUCUUUCUGAGAAGAAAUGUCUCCUAAUUUCCAACCUGAACCUCCCUUGGUGCAAUUUGAGGCCAUUCCCUCUAGCUCUAUCAUUAGUUAUCUGUGAGAGGAGGCUGACUCCCCAGCUCCCCACAACUUCCUUUCAGGUAGUUGUAGAGAGCAAUAAUGUCUCCCCUGAGCCUCCUCUUCACCAGACUAAACAACCCCAGUUCCAUCAGCCGCUCCUCAAAGGAGUUGUGUUGCAGGCCCUUCACCAGCUUCGUAGCCCUUCUCUGGACACACUCCAGGGCCUCGAUGUCCUAUGUCCCUCUUGUACUGGGGAGCCAAGAACCGGGCACAAUACUCCAGGUGUGGCCUCACCAGGACUGAGUAGAGUGGGAAGAUCACCUCCCUUGGCCUGCUGGCAACACUCUUCAGAAUGCGCCACAGGAUACUCUUGGCCUUCUUGGUCACAAGGGCACACUGUUGACUCAUGGUCAGCCUACUGUCCACCAGGACUCUCAGGUCCCUCUCUGCAGAGCUGCACUCCAGCAGGUCACAGCCAGGCUGAAGAUGAAGUGUGUCAUGCUCCAAAACCACCCAACUUCUCCCAGCAUUUGCAUGCCAGGUGCCCUGGGGCAUCGAGACAUUCUCCUUGCCACCCCAGAACACGGUGCUGCCUCGUUUCUCUUCCAGGGCACCGCCAUGAGGUUGCUGUUGAGAAAUGCUGAAGCAAUUUGGUGCUGCAGAAGGUGGAUGGCUGUCUUCCAUGGCUCAAAUUCUCAAAGGCCUUCAUGGCAGGCUGCUGUGGUGUAGCAGACGCAGCACAGCCCUCAGCUCUGCCCAGGAGACACUGGCUCUCCUGGAGACAACAGUAUUUCUGCCUCCCAUCAGGCAGCUAAAUCCUCAGCUCCC
Molecule: long non-coding RNA, 1093 nt
Filed under: Anser brachyrhynchus (Pink-footed goose)
Lineage: Eukaryota; Metazoa; Chordata; Aves; Anseriformes; Anatidae
Description: lncRNA (ENSABRG00000000120.1)
Source: RNAcentral